RNAcentral lists this long non-coding RNA (1600 nucleotides) under Salmo salar (Atlantic salmon). Its description in RNAcentral is "lncRNA (ENSSSAG00000102745.1)". Lineage: Eukaryota; Metazoa; Chordata; Actinopteri; Salmoniformes; Salmonidae. The record is from RNAcentral.
AGUGGGCCUCAACUGGGUAAGUCAAGUUUUUGCACCUAAUGGUGCUACGAUGCUCUGAGAUACGUACUUUUAAUUCACGCUUUGUUUUACCCACAUCAUUUUUACCACAAGGACAAGUUCUAAGAUAAAUAACUGCCUUAGUGGAGCACGUAAUAACACCUUUGAUUGGGAUCGAUUUCCCUGUUUGUGGGUGUUUGAAGGAUCUACAUUUAUAAGUGGCAUUGCAUUGAGCACAGCCAUUACACUUGUAAUUUCCAUCCAGUAGGGGCGCAAAUAGACGUUGUUCAGGAAUAUCUUGGGGUGGUAAACCUUCUAGAACCUUCCAUCUCUCACAGACUGGAAACCCCUAAGGGAUGAUGAAGAGUCAAUGAAGGAAACAACAACAUACUUCACAAAGAUGGAGUGAAGGGCUUGAUGGGGAGAGGGGUAGAGAGCGGUCCGUUGGGGGAGAGUGAUGAAGGGAGAAAGAAGAGUGGUGUGUGCCAGUAUAUUAUUGUUUUUUAUUAAACCUUUUAAAAACAGUUUAACUAUUUAAUGGGGACAAUGUACAGUAAACCUAAACAUAAUCACCAAGUCACAGUCAACCAGUCAUUUAAAAAUGGCAAUUACCAUAUAUUAGGCAUAUGAUGAGUUACUGAACAACACAGGCCUGACCUCUCGGUUCAUUUGAAAUGACUGGUUAAUGGCAACGAUUCUGAUCGCUGCAAGAGUCUGGGCCCAUAAGAGCCUGUAAGAACAUACAUAUUAGUACCGCCUGGGUUUUAGAUGCCUCCUGACUGUGUCAGUUCACAUUUAGCAAGAAGAGACAGGAUGUCCUAGUUAUUGCCUGCCACAUUUCCACUGACGGAUUGAUGAGUGUUGAAUACCUCUCUGAGCAGAAACACAAUCUCCAGGACAGAUGGAUGCACUGACUCUGUUCACAUUGGUUCCAUUAAGCCUCCCCCUAAACGUACGACAGUCGUCGUCGCUGUGGCGCGUAAACUGAACCAUAUGGACAGUGUUUACUGUGAGCGCGCGGUCAAGACUCCACCGGGAUUGAUUGACAGUUCCUGUGGGAGUGGUGAAUGCAAUCUUUGCAAGAGCUUUUCUCUGAGCUCCACCGGGGUAGGGACAGGGGUGGUCCCCGGGUCAGGAGUGUGGUGCGGCAGAUGCUGCUGUUCGAGUCCUGAUGGCCGAACAUGUGGAACAGCCUCCGGCAGCACGGCAGACCGUGGACCAUGUCAGAGGAGGUGGCCACUGAAGAUCAUGUAGAUCCACGGGUUACAGCAGCUAUUCAGACUGGCCAGCAGAGCCGAGAUGGUGACUGUGGUGUUUUCAGAGUCUGGAGAGAGAGAAACAGGGAAUAGGUGUCGGCCAGUCAGUGAAGGAGAAAACAUUCAAGCUUGUUCUGUUUAUCUACUAGCAGUGACGCACACUAUUUAUGCGUAUUCUCGAGGGAGUCUCAGCAAGCCACUAGGUCUGAAGGGUCACUGACUCGCCAGCAAAAUAUUUAAUUAACAUUUGGAGUUCUCCAGGAGAGAUCAGAGUCAGUGCAUCCAUCUCUCCUGGAAUAAGUCAAGGGGUCUGAAUACUUUCCGAAGGCACUGUAGUUUUUAACCAU